Molecule: non-coding RNA, 73 nt
Organism: Mesocestoides corti
Lineage: Eukaryota; Metazoa; Platyhelminthes; Cestoda; Cyclophyllidea; Mesocestoididae
Source: Rfam
GCCUCCGUAGCUCAGUGGUUAGAGCACUGGUCUUGUAAACCAGGGGUCGGGAGUUCAAUUCUCCCCGGGGGCA